Molecule: ribosomal RNA, 441 nt
Filed under: uncultured bacterium
Lineage: Bacteria
Description: bacterial SSU rRNA
Rfam family: Bacterial small subunit ribosomal RNA
Source: RNAcentral
GCAGAACGCGAAGAACCUUACCUGGGCUAGAAAGCGUAAGAACCUUGGUGAAAACUGAGGGUGUCCUUCGGGGAACUUACGAUUAGGUGCUGCAUGGCUGUCGUCAGCUCGUGUCGUGAGAUGUUGGGUUAAGUCCCGCAACGAGCGCAACCCUUGUUGUUAGUUGCCAGCAUUAAGUUGGGCACUCUAACAAGACUGCCGACCUUUAAGUCGGAGGAAGGUGGGGAUGACGUCAAGUCCUCAUGGCCCUUACGUCCAGGGCUACACACGUGCUACAAUGACCGGUACAAAGGGUUGCCAAACCGCGAGGUGGAGCCAAUCCCAAAAAGCCGGCCUCAGUACGGAUAAGAGUCUGCAACUCGACUCUUUGAAGGCGGAAUCGCUAGUAAUCUCUGAUCAGCAUAGCAGGGGUGAAUACGUUCCCGGGUCUUGUACACACCG